UACCGCAUGGUACAGUGUGAAAAACUCCGGUGGUGUGAGAUGGACCCGCGUCUGAUUAGCUAGUUGGCAGGGCAACGGCCUACCAAGGCGACGAUCAGUAGCCGACCUGAGAGGGUGACCGGCCACAUUGGGACUGAGACACGGCCCAAACUCCUACGGGAGGCAGCAGUGGGGAAUAUUGCACAAUGGGGGAAACCCUGAUGCAGCGACGCCGCGUGAGCGAAGAAGUAUUUCGGUAUGUAAAGCUCUAUCAGCAGGGAAGAAGAAAUGACGGUACCUGACUAAGAAGCACCGGCUAAAUACGUGCCAGCAGCCGCGGUAAUACGUAUGGUGCAAGCGUUAUCCGGAUUUACUGGGUGUAAAGGGAGCGCAGGCGGAAGGCUAAGUCUGAUGUGAAAGNCCCGGGGCUCAACCCCGGUACUGCAUUGGAAACUGGUCAUCUAGAGUGUCGGAGGGGUAAGUGGAAUUCCUAGUGUAGCNGGUGAAAUGCGUAGAUAUUAGGAGGAACACCAGUGGCGAAGGCGGCUUACUGGA
This 534-nucleotide ribosomal RNA is filed under the name uncultured Lachnospiraceae bacterium. Its description in RNAcentral is "bacterial SSU rRNA". It matches the Rfam family "Bacterial small subunit ribosomal RNA", at positions 184 to 733 of the family's 1533-position model. The record is from RNAcentral. Lineage: Bacteria; Bacillati; Bacillota; Clostridia; Lachnospirales; Lachnospiraceae.